AUUGAACGCUGGCGGCAUGCCUUACACAUGCAAGUCGAACGGCAGCACGGGAGCAAUCCUGGUGGCGAGUGGCGAACGGGUGAGUAAUAUAUCGGAACGUGCCCAGUCGUGGGGGAUAACGUAGCGAAAGCUACGCUAAUACCGCAUACGAUCUAUGGAUGAAAGCGGGGGAUCGCAAGACCUAGCGCGAUUGGAGCGGCCGAUAUCAGAUUAGGUAGUUGGUGAGGUAAAGGCUCACCAAGCCGACGAUCUGUAGCUGGUCUGAGAGGACGACCAGCUACACUGGGACUGAGACACGGCCCAGACUCCUACGGGAGGCAGCAGUGGGGAAUUUUGGACAAUGGGCGCAAGCCUGAUCCAGCAAUGCCGCGUGCAGGAUGAAGGCCUUCGGGUUGUAAACUGCUUUUGUACGGAACGAAACGGUGAGCUCUAAUACAGUUUGCUAAUGACGGUACCGUAAGAAUAAGCACCGGCUAACUACGUGCCAGCCGCCGCUGUAA
RNAcentral lists this ribosomal RNA (500 nucleotides) under uncultured bacterium. RNAcentral's name for it is "partial 16S ribosomal RNA". It matches the Rfam family "Bacterial small subunit ribosomal RNA", at positions 30 to 523 of the family's 1533-position model. The record is from RNAcentral.